AGCUGUGAAGAUAGAACUAAUUUAGUGACGGCCUGGUCCGUCACAGUCGUCCCGAUCAUCCGUGACGAUAGCAAGUGCCGUCUGAGCU
Arabidopsis lyrata subsp. lyrata is the source of this 88-nucleotide small nucleolar RNA. It matches the Rfam family "small nucleolar RNA snoR121". NCBI's taxonomy places the organism in Eukaryota, Viridiplantae, Streptophyta, Magnoliopsida, Brassicales, Brassicaceae. The record is from Rfam.